Molecule: long non-coding RNA, 394 nt
Organism: Musa acuminata AAA Group (dessert banana)
Lineage: Eukaryota; Viridiplantae; Streptophyta; Magnoliopsida; Zingiberales; Musaceae
Exons: 2
Source: RefSeq, a predicted model, not a curated record
CUUCGGUUGGUCGUUGGUCUUUGAGGUCUCCCGAUCGGGUGGCAGACGAUUCUAUCAGUCUCGCCCUCAUCUUCUCCAUCUCCUCUCUUCCUCAUCUAGAUGGGACGUCAUGCCAUUGAGAAAAUUGUGAUACUUAAGUGGCUCCAAAUUGAGAGUUGAUUUUGUUGUGAAUCUCCUGACUAAAUGCAAAUGGUUGAUAUCUGCAAUAUUUGAUUUUGGGAUUUCGCGUACAGAGGGUGGAUGAUUGUUGCUAUCAUAUGAUACUCUGAUGUUUAGGUUUUGAGAAUCCUAUGAUGUUUGUUAUGUCAAGAAAGCUUACUAGAAUUCAAUAAUAAUCUUGCUAGACUUGUAUUUGUGAUAAAAGUUACAUUGGUUUGGCUUUUGUCGUUCUCAA